RNAcentral lists this ribosomal RNA (568 nucleotides) under uncultured bacterium. RNAcentral describes it as "bacterial SSU rRNA". It matches the Rfam family "Bacterial small subunit ribosomal RNA", at positions 338 to 916 of the family's 1533-position model. The record is from RNAcentral.
CCUACGGGAGGCAGCAGUGGGGAAUAUUGCACAAUGGGCGCAAGCCUGAUGCAGCAACGCCGCGUGAGGGACGACGGCCUUCGGGUUGUAAACCUCUUUUAGUAGGGAAGAAGCGAAAGUGACGGUACCUGCAGAAAAAGCACCGGCUAACUACGUGCCAGCAGCCGCGGUAAUACGUAGGGUGCAAGCGUUAUCCGGAAUUAUUGGGCGUAAAGAGCUCGUAGGCGGUUUGUCGCGUCUGCUGUGAAAACUGGAGGCUCAACCUCCAGCCUGCAGUGGGUACGGGCAAACUAGAGUGCGGUAGGGGAGAUUGGAAUUCCUGGUGUAGCGGUGGAAUGCGCAGAUAUCAGGAGGAACACCGAUGGCGAAGGCAGAUCUCUGGGCCGUAACUGACGCUGAGGAGCGAAAGCAUGGGGAGCGAACAGGAUUAGAUACCCUGGUAGUCCAUGCCGUAAACGUUGGGCGCUAGAUGUGGGGACCAUUCCACGGUUUCCGUGUCGCAGCUAACGCAUUAAGCGCCCCGCCUGGGGAGUACGGCCGCAAGGCUAAAACUCAAAGGAAUUGACGG